Symphalangus syndactylus (siamang) is the source of this 2906-nucleotide long non-coding RNA. RefSeq lists it as uncharacterized. Lineage: Eukaryota; Metazoa; Chordata; Mammalia; Primates; Hylobatidae. The record is from RefSeq and is a predicted model, not a curated record.
UAGAAUGUGUUACACACAGUGUGGGCAGUGAAAUCAUCGUGAUGUGAUUCUGAAGUUUGUUCCUGGCUCCCUCUUUUCUUUGGCCCUCCUGAAGAAUGUGUGAGGUUACUUCUGGUUUCAAAUGCAGCAAUCACAACAAAAUUUAAUGCCUGAGGACUCCAUAAUAGAUUAUCUCGUCCCGCACUACUAUGCCAGAGGAGGAAAUGAUCCAGACAACUCAGAUUUUAAUGUAACUGAAAUAAGCACAAACUUACACAUUAGGGCUGAUGUAUUACAAUAGGGUACCCAUGGACAAUAAUACUGGGUCAAAUUCAUCCACUUCAUGUGGACAGCUUGAGUCUCCAAAAGAAUGCGACAAUACAUUCAAAGAAUAUAAACGCUGGAAUCAGUUCUUGCUAGCAACACGAGCCAGCAAUGUAUUAUGUGAAACUGCAUCCAAAAAAAAAAUAAAGCUACAAAGUCAUAAAAAUAGCCCUGAGAAUAACUAAUUUAAACAGCGUAAGUAAACAGUUUUCUUGAGGAAGGUAAUCGGGUGGCUGGAACACAGGAGACACCCUGCAAGUCAAACAAGCUUAAUCAAAACAAGAGCAAAAAACCCUAUAAAACCCCUAAUCUGACAAGUCUGAAGUCAAGCCACAUACUGCCACAUCUCAAGGGCUUCUUCCCCAUCCUUAUCUAUCAUAGGCUGGGCCAGGCCAGGCAGUUUUCUAAAAAAUCUCUGCCUUAGGAAACUAGUAAGUCAGAUAAAAAGUCAAUCAACGUCUCUCACUUUCCUUCUACACUUCUGUGAUUCUGGAGGUGGGACUCUGCCAGGGGCUCCUAGUUUAAGUCUGCAGAUAAGGGGGUGUUAAGGGAAAACUGCGAGAGAGGACAGUGCUGUCUCCCCUCUCAUGGGUGCAUCAGCAGAUUUUUUUUUUUUUUUUUUUUUUUGAGACGGAGUGUCGCCCUGUCGCCCAGGCUGGAGUGCAGUGGCGCAAUCUCGGCUCACUGCAAGCUCCGCCUCCCGGGUUCACGCCAUUCUCCUGCCUCAGCCUCUCUGAGUAGCUGGGACUACAGGCGUCCGCCACCACGCCCGGCUAAUUUUUUUGUAUUUUUAGUAGAGACAGGGUUUCACCGUGGUCUCUCGAUCUCCUGACCUCAUGAUCCGCCCGCCUCGGCCUCCCAAAGUGCUGGGAUUACAAGCGUGAGCCACCGCGCCCGGCCCUGAUUUUUUUUUUUUUUUUAAGCUCAUCGGCUAUCAUUAGUGUUAGUGUAUUUUAUGUGCGGCCUAAGACAAUUCUUUUUUUUUUCUUUUGUCGCCCAGACUGGAGUGCAGUGGCACGAUCUCGGCUCACUGCAGCCUCUGCUUCCCAGGUUGAAGCAAUUCUCCUACCUCAGCCUCCCAAGUAGCUGGGAUUACAGGCGUGUGCCACCAAACCGGCUAAUUUUUGUAUUUUUAGUAGAGACAGGGUUUCACCAUGUUGGCCAGGCUGGUCUCGAGCUCCUGACCUCAAGGGAUCGGCCCGCCUCGGCCUCCCAAAGGGCUGGGAUUACAGACGUGAGCCACCGUGCCCAGCCAUAAGACAAUUCUUAUUCCAAUGCGGCCCAGGGAAGCCAAAAGGUUGGAAACCCCUGUUCUAAAGCAAUGCAGGCUUCAAAUGUGACUAGUUUUAUGAGAGCCAAUACAGAUUACCUAUCUCCUAAAAAUUCUACCUUGCUUCCCUUCAGCACUGUCAUUUUUUAAAAGAUUUUAUUUAGAAAACACUUCAGCUAAAAUAUUUACAAAGGAAUGAAGUACUAAUACAUGCUACAAUAUACAUGAACCUUGAAAACAUGCUAAAUGAAAGAAGCCAGAAAGACAAGGCCACAUAUUGUAUAAUUCCAUUUAUAUGAAGUGUGUAAAAUAGGAAAAUCCAUAGAAUUGGAAAGCAGAUAAAUGGUUGCCAGGGGUUGAAGGUAGAGUGACUGCUAAUGGGCACAGGGUUUUUCUUUUUGGGGUGACAAAAAUCUUCUAAUUAGCAAGUGAUGAUGAUGUACUGCUUUGUGAAUACAUGAAAAACCAUUCAACUGUACACUCUGAGUGGGUGAAUUUUAUGGUAUGAGAAUUAUACUUCAAAAAAAUAAAUGAAGCAUGAGUUUCCCUUCAAUAUUCAGUGAGAUUUUGGAAUCUUACCGAUGAAUUAGAGAUUGGAAUAGUAAAAGUAAGUGAAGAGAAAAUAAUUUAUUAAUAUCUAUUACUUGACUAUUUAGUAUAUAACAUAUUCACAGCAUGUUAACAGAGUUUUCAGUUUUUUGAGACAGGAUCUUCUCUGUCGCCCAGCCUGAAGUAUAGUGGCACAAUCUUGGCUCACUGCCGCCUCAACCUCGCAGACUCAAGUGAUCCACCCAUUUCAUCCUCCCAACUAGUAGCUGGGACUACAGACGUGUGCCACCACACAUGGCUAAUUUUUGUAUUUUUUUGUAGACAUGGGACUUCUUCAUGUUGCUCAGGCUGUUCUCGAAUUCUUGGGCUCAAGCAACCCACCUGCUUCGGCCUCCCAAAGUGCUGGGAUCACAGACAUGAGCCACCGCACCCAGCCAACAGAAUUUUUAGUAAUGAAUAUAUAUUCAUGAACUACACUUCUGAAGAAAAGAAACUUCAAAUUAAAAGAUUACUUUUGAAGCUAAGUAUCUGUGAUCCAAGCAUAGACAUGCUGACUCAAGUUACACAGUCUUAGCUCAAAUAUCUCCUGGGUCUGGUAUGUCUAACCUAGAAUGACAUUCUACUCCCCCUUUUCUACUUAUGCUUCAAAAUUCAGCUCAAAUAUCACCCUCUAAAAACCUUUCCCUAAACCAAUCUUGAGGAUUUUCCAGGCCAGUCUGUCAUUUCUUUGGUGUUCCCAUUGAUGCCUUUCUAUUCUAUAUACAAAGCAGCGCUAGCUGUAUGA